Molecule: ribosomal RNA, 376 nt
Filed under: uncultured bacterium
Lineage: Bacteria
Description: bacterial SSU rRNA
Rfam family: Bacterial small subunit ribosomal RNA
Source: RNAcentral
AUACGGAGGGAGCUAGCGUUGUUCGGAAUUACUGGGCGUAAAGCGCACGUAGGCGGCUUUGUAAGUUAGAGGUGAAAGCCUGGAGCUCAACUCCAGAAUUGCCUUUAAGACUGCAUCGCUUGAAUCCAGGAGAGGUGAGUGGAAUUCCGAGUGUAGAGGUGAAAUUCGUAGAUAUUCGGAAGAACACCAGUGGCGAAGGCGGCUCACUGGACUGGUAUUGACGCUGAGGUGCGAAAGCGUGGGGAGCAAACAAGAUUAGAUACCCUGGUAGUCCACGCCGUAAACGAUGAUAACUAGCUGUCCGGGGACUUGGUCUUUGGGUGGCGCAGCUAACGCAUUAAGUUAUCCACCUGGGAAGUACGACCGCAAGGUUGAA